This 206-nucleotide long non-coding RNA is filed under the name Elaeis guineensis (African oil palm). RNAcentral's name for it is "long non-coding RNA (EGUI_LNC063949)". The record is from RNAcentral. Lineage: Eukaryota; Viridiplantae; Streptophyta; Magnoliopsida; Arecales; Arecaceae.
CAUGGCGUAUAUGAUAGAUUCUAUUAUCGAAGUAUAUGAGAUUUUACUCAUACGCUCUCUUUCUCUUGAGGAGUUGUCGGACAAUCCUUCUUAGAGAGAGUAAUUUCAUGGUCUAUUGAGAGAUAGCUUUUUUUGAAAUUCUCCAUACCGAACCGUUUCUGCACAGCAUCUUUGUACGUGGAUUGGAAUAAUCCAAGCAGCCUCUU